ACACCGUCAAGCUCUGCUUGGUGUUGGGCGUUUUGUCUCCACCCUCCCGUGGGGACUCGCCUUAAAGCGAUUGGCAGCGGCCCUUUUUGCCAGCUUCUUGCGCAGCACUUUUGCGCUUAGCGAGCCAGCAGCGGGCCUGCAAACCAGCAAGCAUCACCUCUUU
This 163-nucleotide unclassified non-coding RNA is filed under the name uncultured Dictyosporiaceae. RNAcentral's name for it is "sequence contains ITS2". Lineage: Eukaryota; Fungi; Ascomycota; Dothideomycetes; Pleosporales; Dictyosporiaceae. The record is from RNAcentral.